RNAcentral lists this transfer RNA (73 nucleotides) under Acidimicrobiia bacterium. RNAcentral describes it as "tRNA-Thr". It matches the Rfam family "tRNA". From Rfam's summary of the family: Transfer RNA (tRNA) molecules are approximately 80 nucleotides in length. The record is from RNAcentral. Lineage: Bacteria; Bacillati; Actinomycetota; Acidimicrobiia.
GCCGGGUUAGCUCAGCAGGCAGAGCGGCUGACUUGUAAUCAGCAGGCCGUCGGUUCGAUCCCGACACCCGGCU